This 351-nucleotide transfer-messenger RNA is filed under the name Candidatus Cloacimonadota bacterium. It matches the Rfam family "transfer-messenger RNA". Rfam says of the family: Bacterial tmRNA, also known as 10Sa RNA or SsrA, is named for its dual tRNA and mRNA-like properties. Its role is to liberate the mRNA from a stalled ribosome. To accomplish this part of the tmRNA is used as a reading frame that ends in a translation stop signal. Lineage: Bacteria; Pseudomonadati; Candidatus Cloacimonadota. The record is from RNAcentral. RNAcentral also lists the same sequence under 2 other names.
GGGGGUGACCGGUUUCGACAGGGAUAAAGAGGAUUGACGAGGCAUACCGGGGAGUUUACCUACCCGUUAAUCACGGUAAAAACAAAAUCUAAAUGCAAAUUACGAAUACGCAUUAGCAGCUUAAAUUCUGCUACGCUUACCUUAGGCUUGUCAUCGGCUUAAGAAUAAGUGUCAUAAUUGAUGACUGCACAACGGUGAACUGCUUCGCAGCUGUUGUAAAGACUUAGAAGCUGGCUUUUAGUGAGGUUUGAUUGUGACUCCUGCUAAGAGUGAGGAUAAAAACAACUAAGUAUGUAGAAUCGGCUUUUGUCUUAUCUUUGGACGCGGGUUCGAUUCCCGCCACCUCCACCA